RNAcentral lists this small RNA (341 nucleotides) under Pan troglodytes (chimpanzee). Its description in RNAcentral is "processed transcript". Lineage: Eukaryota; Metazoa; Chordata; Mammalia; Primates; Hominidae. The record is from RNAcentral.
AGAAUCCCUUUUUUGGAGAGUCAGAGAGAAAAGCAAAAAAAACAGCAUGAGGAAUUUGAAGACUGAGAGAUGAGUUGUGUAGCACCAACAUUUUCUUUCUGCCUGACCUUCAUACCUGAUGAAUUAAAAGAGGCUGAGCUGGAAUGGCUUCUUCAUCAUUAAGGGCUGACCUAUUGGCUUGGCAUUGAAAUCAAUUUAGAACAAAUGGUCUCCAUUUCAAGUCAGCUUGAACCAUCUAAGCCCCAGAACAUGACACAGAAAAAAAGAAGCAGUAAGCUGCCCCUUCUACCAAUGUCUAAGAUGAAUGGGAAAAAUGCAUAUAAAUGGAAUUUUUCUUUUAC